UAUUAAAGAGUUUGAUCCUGGCUCAGGACUAACGCUGGCGGCGUGCCUAACACAUGCAAGUCGAACGGAGUAGGAAACUACUCAGUGGCGGACGGGUGAGU
RNAcentral lists this ribosomal RNA (101 nucleotides) under Calorimonas adulescens. RNAcentral's name for it is "Thermoanaerobacteraceae bacterium A05MB partial 16S ribosomal RNA". It matches the Rfam family "Bacterial small subunit ribosomal RNA", at positions 1 to 111 of the family's 1533-position model. Lineage: Bacteria; Bacillati; Bacillota; Clostridia; Thermoanaerobacterales; Thermoanaerobacteraceae. The record is from RNAcentral.